RNAcentral lists this RNase P RNA (440 nucleotides) under Caldifarciminota bacterium. RNAcentral describes it as "candidate division WOR-3 bacterium RNase P RNA component class A". It matches the Rfam family "Bacterial RNase P class A". From Rfam's summary of the family: Ribonuclease P (RNase P) is a ubiquitous endoribonuclease, found in archaea, bacteria and eukarya as well as chloroplasts and mitochondria. Its best characterised activity is the generation of mature 5'-ends of tRNAs by cleaving the 5'-leader elements of precursor-tRNAs. Cellular RNase Ps are ribonucleoproteins. Lineage: Bacteria; Pseudomonadati; Caldifarciminota. The record is from RNAcentral.
UGGGGUGACUGGAUAGUCGCUCUAUGUGAGAGGAAAGUCCGGGCUUCACAGGGCAGGAUGCUCCCUAACGGAGAGGUUUGAUCCGAGUCGGGUCGAACGGAAAGUGCCACAGAAAAUAUACCGCCCGCCACACUACUUGGUGGGUAAGGGUGAAAAGGCGUCUCGCUGCUGCGGGAUUCUCGCCGGUGACGGCGGAAAGGUAAGAGCUCACCGCUCUGGUGGCGACAUCAGAGGUCCCUAACGGGAUUCACGUCCUUUUUGGGACGGAACACGGCAAACCCCAUCCGAAGCAAAACCACGUAGCCCCGUCUGAAGUGGUCCCGCUUCAUCCCACCUCAGGUGGGUACGGGGCGGGUAGGUUGCGUAGAACCCGAUAGUAAUAUCGGGUCAAGAGAAAUGGCUGUCUAAAACAGAACCCGGCUUACGGGUCACCCCACUCA